Molecule: ribosomal RNA, 360 nt
Filed under: uncultured Sphingobacteriales bacterium
Lineage: Bacteria; Pseudomonadati; Bacteroidota; Sphingobacteriia; Sphingobacteriales
Description: bacterial SSU rRNA
Rfam family: Bacterial small subunit ribosomal RNA
Source: RNAcentral
ACAUAUACAAGGUGCUGCAUGGUUGUCGUCAGCUCGUGCCGUGAGGUGUCGGGUUAAGGUCCCAUAACGAGCGCAACCCCUACUCAUUAGUUGCCAUCAGGUCAAGCUGGGGACUCUAAUGAAACUGCCUACGCAAGUAGUGAGGAAGGCGGGGAGUGACGUCAAAUCAGCACGGCCCUUACCGUCCAGGGCUACACACGUGCUACAAUGGCCGAUACAGAGGGCAGCUACCUGGUGACAGGAUGCAAAUCUCCAAAGUCGGUCUCAGUUCGGAUCGGAGUCUGCAACCCGACUCCGUGAAGUUGGAUUCGCUAGUAAUCGCGCAUCAGCCAUGGCGCGGUGAAUACGUUCCCGGGCCUU